AGUCGAGGGGCAGCGGGGAGCAAGCUUGCUUGCUCUGCCGGCGACCGGCGCACGGGUGAGUAACACGUAUGCAACCUGCCCUCCGCAGGGGGAUAACCCGGAGAAAUCCGGACUAAUACCGCGUGGUACACUUGUGGGGCAUCCCACGGGUGUUAAAAGGAAGUGAUUCCGGCGGAGGAUGGGCAUGCGGCGCAUUAGCUGGUUGGCGGGGUAACGGCCCACCAAGGCGACGAUGCGUAGGGGUUCUGAGAGGAAGGUCCCCCACACUGGUACUGAGACACGGACCAGACUCCUACGGGAGGCAGCAGUGAGGAAUAUUGGUCAAUGGGCGGGAGCCUGAACCAGCCAAGUCGCGUGAGGGAAGACGGUCCUAUGGAUUGUAAACCUCUUUAGGCGGGGAGCAAUGCCGGGCACGCGUGCCCGGAGGGAGAGUACCCGCAGAAUAAGCAUCGGCUAACUCCGUGCCAGCAGCCGCGGUAAUACGGAGGAUGCGAGCGUUAUCCGGAUUUAUUGGGUUUAAAGGGUGCGUAGGCGGAUUUUUAAGUCAGCGGUAAAAUGUCCGGGCUCAACCCGGGCCGGCCGUUGAAACUGGGGAUCUUGAGUGGGCGAGAAGUAUGCGGAAUGCGUGGUGUAGCGGUGAAAUGCAUAGAUAUCACGCAGAACUCCGAUUGCGAAGGCAGCAUACCGGCGCCCGACUGACGCUGAGGCACGAAAGCGUGGGGAUCGAACAGGAUUAGAUACCCUGGUAGUCCACGCAGUAAACGAUGAAUGCUAGUUGUCCGGUUCUUUGGGACUGGGUGACACAGCGAAAGCGUAAAGCAUUCCACCUGGGGAGUACGCCGGCAACGGUGAAACUCAAAGGAAUUGACGGGGGCC
Molecule: ribosomal RNA, 876 nt
Filed under: uncultured bacterium
Lineage: Bacteria
Description: bacterial SSU rRNA
Rfam family: Bacterial small subunit ribosomal RNA
Source: RNAcentral